Kogia breviceps (pygmy sperm whale) is the source of this 270-nucleotide non-coding RNA. The record is from RefSeq and is a predicted model, not a curated record. NCBI's taxonomy places the organism in Eukaryota, Metazoa, Chordata, Mammalia, Artiodactyla, Physeteridae.
UAAGUGGAGCAGCAAAAUGCAAAGCAGAAAGAAGAGGGACCUACUAUAGAGGGAUAUGAUUUCCAUUUUCAAGGCGCAUUCAUCCUAUGCAGGGAGACAGCCUAACAUAAAAUUUGCCUAACAAAAAAUAUAUUGAUAUGUGGAAAGACUAUCUCCCAGUGGGACAGUGGAUGCCUGGGACUCGUUUCAUUGCUUUCAAAGUUCCUUUAAAAAAGAGUUUUGAAAAGAAUCUUGCUCCAGAAGAAUGUUUUCCCCCCUUGGAUCUUUUUU